UUUUUUUUUUUUUAAGUCCGAGUGAUUAAACAGGUAGUUUCCUUUGUAUUGGCCUCAUAUUGAUGCAUUAAUAUUUGAUUGGAUAGGGUCUUAGUUUCUGUCUUGGUUUGUGGUUUAGCUGUAAACUGACACAAGGUCUUAUGGUUAGUCUUCUUAGGGGCAGGAACUAGAGCUGGGUACCUGGAGUGGAUUUGCAAAUGUUGAGUGCUUUUGAGCCAUAAGCCCUGAACUGAAAUUUUUUUUUUCUUUUUUUCUUUUUAGGCCUCACCCGUGACAUAUGGAGGUUCCCAGGCUAGGGGUCAAAUCAGAGCUAUAGCUGCCAGCCUACACCAUAGCUCACAGAAGCACCAGAUCCCUGACCCACUGAAUGAAGCCAGGGAUUGAACCCGCAUUCUCAUGGAUACUAUUUGGAUUCGUUACCACUGCGCCACAAUGGGAACUCGUGAGAAUUUUUCUUAACUUCCUGAUGAUUGGCUUUUGGGUAUUAGGGCAAAGUCUCACAAAGGUGGGAAAGCUUGUACCAGUACCAUGCUAGCUCUAUCUUCUUUUAAACAAUUUAUCAAGCUACCUUUAACUCUGGCCCCUCAGUGCUCUCUUUCCCAUGAGCUUCUUGGAUUGUUGAUAUUAGGUCCACCCAGGGUGAAUUUAAGCUAAAACUGGCAGUAGAUUCCAGGAAGCCUUCUACCUAAUAUCUACUAAUCUCUGUGGGGGUCUUGAUGGCAGAGGGAUGGGAGAAGGUGAUGAGGCAGAAAGAAAUAGUGGCUGAGCCAUUAUCCUGGUGGAUUGGGGAGAUGGCUGAAUUAUCUAGGAGAGGUUAUUAAGAGUCAGAGAAUUCUUAGUCAAUCAAAAUAUAAAAAUCUAAGACUGUAUGUGCUGUAGGCAUGUCUGGGGAGAAGCAUGGAGCCCUGUUUAAGGCUGUAGUGUGAAGCAGGGUAGCUGUUAAGGGCCCCCAUAAACAUUAGUUAGGGAAUAUCAGUCACACCCGAGGAAGGCUCUGCUCCUGUUAUUGAGGAUUGUUGAAGAAAUGAAUCAUAUUCUUGGUGAAAGAAUAGCUGUGUUUAUUCGUUGUGUUUUACACUGUAUUGAAGCCACAGCCCUGGAGAUUUAUGCUACCAGUAACUUUGUUUUAUAGAUAAGGACUCCAAGACUCCAUAAUUGCUUAAUAUCUCCAGCCAGAGUUGAAACUCAGGUCUGUCUGAUUCUGAAACCUGUGUGCUUAACCAUAUGUAUCUUGUUAUAAAAAUAACUGAGUUCCCAAUGUGGCUCAGUGGAAAUGAACCUAACUAGCAUCCAUAAGGCCUUGCUCAGUGGGUUAAGGAUCUGGCAUUGUUGUGAGCUGUGACAUAGGUCACAGGCUAGAUUUGGAUCCUGUGUGGCUGUGGCAUAGGCCAGCAGCCACAGCUCUCACUCGAUCCCUUGCCUUGGAACCUUCGUAUGCCAUGGGUGCAGCCCUAAAAAUACAAAUACAAAUACUACUACUACUAAUAGUAACUGUAUGUGACUAAUUUACAAAGCUGAAAAUUAUAGUUCAGUUUAUGAUGCCGAGAGCAAGCAAAACACUGUAAAAGGCUUUGGCAGGUUAAUUGGGUAGUACUUACUUGGGGAAGAUGACUUUAGGAACAGUUGUAGCAUGAGAGAAUGAUACAUAGCUUUUUCCUUUGCAUAGAUUUAGAGGAUCUUGAGAUGCCUUUGAAUUUGGGUAGUCUGCCCAUAGAGUCUCUGCUCAGCUGCAGCCCUGUGGAUUGGCAGAGCAGGGUUUUUUGAUGAGAAGGCUGGACCUUAGUAUUCAAGGCCAGGAGAUGAUAGUGCCAGUUCUGAAACAUGGCACCCUUCUCUUUUCUCUUGACCAGCUCACAGAAUGGCUUUUAGAAUAGCAUUAUUGUUUUCCAUAUAUCUAAUAUGGACCUGGUCAGGAGAAAGGAACCCUGUCAUUAGGUAACAAAGUCUCAUUAGCUUGAUCCAAAUAAAGGGAAGUGAUUGGGAUUCUGGAGCUACAUCUUCUCCCCAAAGGUCAGGGGUCUUCACACUGUUUUGAGUAUAGGUAGUAAACUCAUUAACUUCAAUUCAUGUUUGCAUUAGUGAUUUCACUUGAUCUUCAAUACAACCCUGUAAGCGAGGCAGGAUAGUAUCAUUUGUCAGAUGGCGAGACUGAGGUUAAGCAACUUGGGCUUUGUCCCUCUCUUGAUCUUUGACCUUAAGCAAGUAAUUUAAACCCAAGCUUUGCUUUCUCCUCUGUAAAAUGAAAAUAACUAUACUUUCUUUGCCUGAGAGUCUUGAGAGAAUGAAAUGCUGUAUGUAAAACACUUAGCACAGUGCUUGGCAAGUAGUAGAUGCUCAGCAGUACGUGGAAUGGAUUGAAGCUAUCUGUCAUCACCAUCACCACUGGCUCACUUUAUUUAAACUGGGGCCAGAGACCCCUGUUGGCUUCUGGGUCUUAGGCUGCUAAAUGAGUGAGGAGCCCUCAGCCCCAUUGCCAGGAGAAGGAAAGACUGAGGAAGCCUGAGUAUAUCAUAUUAUAUAUUAUCCUUCACAUCUCAUCUUAACCAACUCUGGAUAGGUUGGAUAUUUAUUUGGAGUACCAGACCCACAGUGGAGCCUCGGUGUCAGCUUCCUGGACUGCCUUUGUAAAGCUUUUAAGAUAAGAUCUGCACUGGUCUCGUGGGAGAGGGAUAUUCGGAUUGAUUCUGAAUCUCUUACUCCCCUAAGAACUGUGCCCUUUUCUCUGUAACUUAAGGACUUCACAGCUGUGUUGGUGUUAGGGAGUUUGGUGCUUCUCUUGACAGCUUGUGAAGGGUGGGCAGGCACCUGUGAAUUCUUCACUUGCCUCGUGAGAAUGACUUCACCCCAGGAUGUUGAGGUCCCAGUUAUCUCAUCUGCUACUAUAAAAUUCCUCUGUCUUAGAUACUAGUUUCUUUUAAGAUCAGUCUUUCCUUAACCCCUAGGGAUCUUGAACCCUGCUAAAUGUCGAGUGACUGAAUGGAGUCCUCUAUUUGCUUUUAGCUUGCAUUAUAGUGUUUGGUCUUAUCUCUCUGUUUCUUCCAUGGCAGUAAUAGCACUACUGGAAAAAGCUCUGGAUUGGGAGUUGGAGAUGCAGGUUCUAGUUGGGGCACCAGAAUUUUCUUGGACAAGUUGCUAUACGUUUUUGAGCCUCAGUUUCCCCAUAUGAAGAUAAAAUGGUUCUCUGUUCCUUUUUGGUUUGUGUCUUUUUAGGAGUAGACCUCUUUCCCCCCCCCCCAAAUAAAAUCUUGCCUAGAGCCCUAUUAUAGAGACAGAACACAGUUUGUUUUGUUCUGGAACAGAGUUGCUGUGAUUGAAGCAAGUCCAGCAGUUUUGCUGCCCCCCACUGAUUCCUUGUCCCAAACAUAGAUGUGCAUUUUGUACUUGUCUGGGGGCCUCUAGGACUCUGUCAAGAGACUUUGGACAUUGCUGGUGCAGGAUCAUCUCUACAACGCUAAGAAUUUUUUUGCUGUUGACAGGUAGGUAGUAAAAAUCUGUAAAACCUGUAUGUUAAAUGUGUAAGUAGACCAUGGAGUCUUCAAGAAGAAUUAGAUUUUCACUGAUGUAUUUGAAAGAUUCUAAAGUUUGGCUCAGUCUGUAGUGUUUUGUAUAUUGUAGUGUCCAGUAAAGACUGACUUAAUUUUUGCUUGCAGGAUAAAUAUAGUUUUUUAAUAGUGGCAGACACUUUAUUUCCCUAUCUUAUGGACCAGUUCCUUCUGGGAAUACCCGUAGGAUCCAACCAUUAAUAUAAUUCAGUAGUGGAACUAGAUUCCUUUACAGAUUUUUCUCUUGUAGGUAUUUAGGUAUUCUCCAUUACAAUGUAUAUAAUAUAAAUAGAACAUUUGCUAUUGUUAACUUAUGUUUCAGGAGUCAUUCUAGUGCCAGUUCCAUAUAGAACUUUCUAAUUUUAAAGAGGAAGAGUGGAAUAGAAAGAAAAGCAUAUGUACUUUAGAAUAGAGGGAUCUAAGUUUGAAAAAGACUCUGUCAGUAACUAGCUAUGUUUGGGCAAACUAUUACUCUAGUUUUUCAAUCAUGAUUUACACAUUUGUAAAUUGAGCCAAUAAUACUUGCUAACCUUUUGCAGAACUGUUGUAAGGAUUAGGGAUAAUGGGUCUUCCUCCCCCCAGCGAAUGUUAAGUCAGACAAAAGGACAAAGAUUAGUCUGUUAGGGAAUUCUCAUAGAAGAGCAUCCAAUUUUGUUAUAUAUAUUGUUUUAUAUGAAUAUAUAUUAUAUAUUGUUAGUGGGGUCAAAUGGUAGAUCACCCAGUGUGAUUUAUUCUUGCUUAGGCAUUUAUUCACUUCAGGGAACACUUGUUUAUAUAUUACCCAUUUUGCAAGACGUAUUAUAGAGGAAUAAUUAAGAACAUGGACUCUAGAGCCAGCCUGCCUGGGUUUGAAUCUUGGCUCCACCAUUUACCUGCUGAUUUUUUUUUUUUUUUUUUUUUUUUUUUUUUAAACUAGGGGACAAAUCCCUGUUGAGUCUUAUAGGAAGAGAAAAGUUAAGCGCACAGGCUGGAGAAAGGGUCUGGUAGCGUAGCACCAGUGAUACAGCUGAAAAUUUAGCAAGUGGCUGGUCUGACCCCAAUAGCGUAUUUCUACUACAUUCUGGUUAUGGACGUCUUUUCUGCCUCAUUCAAGUAUGCUGUUCGUUAAGUUUUUUUUUUUUUUUUAAACAAAUACUAGCAAUCAUAGAUUUUUUUUUUUUUUUAAUUUUCCCACUGUACAGCAAGAGGGUCAGGUUAUCCUUACAUGUAUGCAUUACAAUUACAUUUUUUCCCCCACCCUUUCUUCUGUUGCAACAUGAGUGUCUAGACAUAGUUCUCAAUGCUAGCAAUCAUAGAUUUGAGGAGAGGGGCUUGUACACCUGGAAGACAUCUGGGGUUAUCUUUAGCCCCUCUUUUACAUAUGGAGAAGGGUGAGAGUAUAAGCCUCAUUAAACAAACCACAGCAUGUUUAGUGGCAGAACCAACUGGGUUCUUAUACACACUCCUGGACUUUGUCCCUCUUACACAACAGGGAAUACUCACUUUUUUAUUUUUAUUUUUUAAUUUUCACAAGAUUUUUAUUGUUUUUUGCUGUGCCCAUGGCAUGUGGAAGUUCCUGGGCCAGGAAUUGAACCCGUACCAUGGCAGCAGCCCUGGCUUCUAAGUGACAGCUCUGGAUCCUUAACCCACUGUACCAUAAAGGAACUCUGAUACUCACUUUUAAAAAAGACUGGAUAAGCAGUUCUUGCUGGUGAAGAGUAGCAAAACUUAGCUUUUAAUAAAUUAUAGGAAAAGAAGAAAUAUGCCUACCCUAGGGAGUUAGUUUUUCCUCAGAGGUUGUGGACCAUCAGGUUCUCUGAGUGCUUGGAAGGCUGAAAGGGGAAUAACCAGUGAGGUGGGGCUGUCAGAUAGGAUUUCUCAGAUAAUAGAGUUUUUGAGCCAGGCAGGGCUCACAGGAGAGGGUGUUCCUGAUAGCUAAUGGAAUGCUGUCCUCAAGUGAUGCAACAUGCUGCUUCCAUAACAGUAAUGGGGGCUCAUUCAUAACCAUCUCACAGGAAAUGAAGGCUUAGAGUAGCCGAGAAAGUUGCCCAAGAUGAAGCUUCAAAGUAAUGAAACCAUAGUUCAGCUCCAGAUCUAUCUGAUUUCAAAGCUAAUGUGUUUCCUACAAAAUAUGCUGCCCCCUCCAAGUGUGAAUGAACAUUCUCAGAAGGAUUGAGCUCAAACUGGAGCCACGCUUUCAGAGGACCUCUGUAAAAAGAGAAAGGGCCAGGAGUUGCUGUCAUGGCUCAGCCGAAACGAAUCUGACUAGCCUCCAUCAGCAUGCAGGCUUGAUCCCUGGCCAUGUUCAGUGGGGUAAGGAUCCAGCGUUGCCAUGAGCUGUGCUGUAGGCCAGCUGUUGUGUAGAUCCAAGCAGAUGUGGCUCAGAUCUGGUGUUGCUGUGGCUGUGGUAUAGGCCAGCGGCUACAGCUCUGGUUCGACCCCUAGCCUGAGAACUUCCAUAUGCC
Molecule: long non-coding RNA, 5986 nt
Filed under: Sus scrofa (pig)
Lineage: Eukaryota; Metazoa; Chordata; Mammalia; Artiodactyla; Suidae
Description: lncRNA (ENSSSCG00055029336.1)
Source: RNAcentral